Molecule: transfer RNA, 67 nt
Filed under: Hanleyella oldroydi
Lineage: Eukaryota; Metazoa; Mollusca; Polyplacophora; Lepidopleurida; Lepidopleuridae
Description: tRNA-Leu
Source: RNAcentral
GCUAAGGUGGCAGAUUAGUGCUUUAGAUUUAAGCUCUAAAUAAAAAGUUUAAUAACUUUUCUUAGCU